Molecule: ribosomal RNA, 520 nt
Filed under: uncultured bacterium
Lineage: Bacteria
Description: bacterial SSU rRNA
Rfam family: Bacterial small subunit ribosomal RNA
Source: RNAcentral
CAUGGCUCAGAUUGAACGCUGGCGGCAGGCCUAACACAUGCAAGUCGAGCGGUUGAGAGUAGCUUGCUACUUGAUGCAGCGGCGGACGGGUGAGUAACGCGUGGGAAUCUGCCCAGUAGUGGGGGACAACAGCCGGAAACGGCUGCUAAUACCGCAUACGCCCUACGGGGAAAGGGGGGAGUCUUCGGACCUCUCGCUAUUGGAUGAGCCCGCGUCGGAUUAGCUAGUUGGUAGGGUAAAGGCCUACCAAGGCUACGAUCCGUAACUGGUCUGAGAGGAUGAUCAGUCACACUGGAACUGAGACACGGUCCAGACUCCUACGGGAGGCAGCAGUGGGGAAUAUUGGACAAUGGGGGAAACCCUGAUCCAGCCAUGCCGCGUGUGUGAAGAAGGCCUUAGGGUUGUAAAGCACUUUCAGUGGGGAGAAAGGUUUGUCACCUAAUACGUGAUGAAAUUGAUGUUACCCACAGAAGAAGCACCGGCUAACUCCGUGCCAGCAGCCGCGGUAAUACGGAGGGUG